UGCUUGACCGAGCCGCCGCCGCCGUCCCCAUUUCCCACUCGCAACUCGCAAAACUCGAGUCUCCUCUCCACCACCGUUGGCGAUCUUGCUGGCGCGGUCUCGAGCUGUCGUUGCCGCUGAUGGACAAGGCAAGAGGCGGGGAAGGAGGCGACAAGGGUGGCCGCGGCGGGGGAAGAGGCGACAAGGGUGGCCAAGGCGGGAGCAGAGGCUACAAGGGUGGCCAAGGCGGCGUCGGCACCAGCAAGGAAGUGGUGGGGAAGAUUACUGAGGAAACAAGUGUUACCGGUGGGAAACCAAAGCAGGCCACGGGAUGGAAGCGCACGGAAAGAGAUGUUCUUAAGCUACUGAAGGAUCCUUCUGUGCUUACACAACCUUGGUCUGGCGUAGCAGUCUCUAAUUACAACUUCAAGUAUGAUGGCCUAGAUGACAAAUGGUACAGUGGGAGAAUCUUUCUCAACACCAAGGUUGAGGCUGGUGACUCUUUAACACAAACGAAUGGCAGAGAAGCACGGUUUUGGACAUUUGUGGAAGAAGACAAUGGUGUCAGUCCAUGUGAAGACUCAAUACCUUUACUCUGGAAUAUCAAACACCCAGCAAUACUGAAGCCCAUCUGUCUGACAUACAACCCUGAAAUCUAAAGGAUUGUAUAUGGGAUUGCCACAUUCAACAUGGACUUCGAUUCAUGGAUUCAGAACCACCCUGUAGUUAAUGCGGAUUACAUACCCCCUCAUUGGAAUGAAACUAUCUGUUAUGUUCUUUCUGCCAUUCGGGAGGUUGUCAAGAAGAAAUGCAAAAUAGUGGAUUUGAACAAGACUUCAAAGUUUCGUGAUGCUGGACAACAAGGUAAAGAUACUCCCAUCUCACAUUCAGAAGGGAGGAGGUGAUGAUGAUGAAAGCGACAUGCUUGUUACGUUCUCUUUUCUGCUUGAGAACUAUCUAUAUCAGAAUUGGAAGGAUGCCGAUUUGCUUGCAUUCAUUAACCUCAUGCGCAACCCAGGAACAAGAGUGAAAGACCUAGUCACUCAUCCACUGUUGCUGCCCCCAGAUCAGCGUGAGCUAUUAUAUAGAACAACAUGGACUCUUUCGUUCCAUCAGGUGACACAGCACUGCAAGGCAUCUUGCGGUUUCCAAAUGGUCCCCACGGAGUGAUAACAUACCCACUUGGCUUUGUGGGAGUUCACAAAUUCUGCCAUGAUACCUCAUCUCAUUACUUGAAAAGUUUCAGAGAAAAUUAUGUUCCAGGUCAAGUCCAGCUACCAGUAGAUCUGUUAUUGAAGAGAACCUUUCCUGGACUGAUUUCAGAAAUAUACCUUUUGACCCUCGAUCCAGACUGGGGUGAUAUUUAGGACCAGGGAUCGCACAACUGGGAGCACAAGGAGACCGAACCAACAUCUUUUUGUCUACAAUGUCAAGAACAUCUCAUCCUCUGCUUGUUAUUUUUGUCCUGGUUAACUAACAGUUCAUUCAUUUUUUGAUAUGGCAGUUCAUUGACCAAGACGAACUGCAUGAACUUUGCUGCACAUCAAUACACAGUGAUAUUCUCACUGAUCACUGGAUUGGUGGAGCAUUAGUAUGCACUAGGAUGCCAUUUGAACGUCUUAUCACUGAUAUGUUUGACGCACAGCUUGUUUCUGGCUACUUUAUCAGCUGUAAGCCUGUAACAGCUGCUGCUUGAUGUAAUAGUAGUAAGGCAUGUUAUGCUAGACAGCAGCUAAGAUUUUUUAAUGCAUAUUAAGUGCACUUUUGCUAUUUAUCAAUUGCCUGAUUUCUCUCUAAAUGAUGGUUUUUCUAUUUCAUGGGAUUUGGGUUUUUGAUUGGUUGGCAAGCUCGGAUUUUCAGUGGUUUUGGGGGUGGUGGGUGGUGAAUGUUUUGUGCUUUUUUAUUUGGCUGCAAUUUUUUGGGAGUAAACUGUGGAUGCAACAGCAAGAAGAUCAGCAGUCGUUUGCUUGCAAAUAUUUGUCUGCAGUUUUGUGAUUUGUCUGUUUGGCUGCAAUUUUGGAUUAAACUGUGGAUGCAGUAGCAGCAGUAGGAUCAGCAGCGGCUGACUGGCAGGUUGAUGGAGCUUGAGGACUCAGACGCCGACUAAUAGAGGAGCUCCUAUAGCUGCCUGAUUCCCUAUCAGCUUCCUCUUUCGAUUUUCUGUCUUCACCGCAGCAGGUUGGAUUCAUUUUUUCCUGGCCAUGAAGGCUUCGCUGCUGUCGGUGCCAUCUCAGCACCUGCUUAUUGGAGGAUUAACGUAUUUUGAUUUGGUGCAAAGCAUGGCCUGAUAUUCCUGCUGAUAUUCCUGAUCUGGAUUGGGCAUUUGGACUUGGGUUUUGUCAUUUGCAUUGCUUUGCUUGACAUAUGGAAGUUGAGCAUGCACAAGCAGCGUUUGGUACAAUUUUUUCUAUCAUACAAGGUAACCUUUUUUCGGUAGCAUGCUGUAUAGUUUUAUUUAAUGAAAUGUGCUAGUGUGGAUUCGGUGUUGUCUUCUUCUUUUUUCAUCGAAUACCCGUGAAGAACAAACUCCUUGAAUCCUCUGCUCAAUUGGACCAGUGAUGCUCAAUUUCAUAUGUUUGAAAUGUUCUGUUAAGAUUUUAUACAGUUCUUGAUCAAUUGGUCAGGUCGUAUCAAAUUCUUCUUCGGUGGUAAACUAAACCAUGUAUUGCAUACUAAAACUUAUUUUGUUUUCGUGAUAAAAUUGGCGAGUGGUUGCCAUGCGGAACCAGAUCCUCUGACGUGGACGUCCAACGGCUCUCGUCCGUCCAUUCGGCAUCGGACGGAGUAGAGUGAGCACAGCGGAUAGGCUCGGCCCAUAUGGUAGAAAAAUCAGCCCACGCGAUCCACAACCAUCGACGCCACAGCCGCCGCCGGCUAGGAAGCAAAUGGGGGAGGGGAGACCUCUGCACCGUCGGCGUCGCCGCCACCGCCACAGCCUGCGUCUCCCGCGCGAGGGCCCCUUCGUUGCCACCAUCCUCUUCUCGGCCAGCAAAAUCGGGAUGGCUCCUGAUUUCCCGUGGUCUUCGGCCGGCCGCUCACUGCCGCUCGUCGUCUCCUCCGGCGCAUCCGCGGGUGGAGUGGAUCCUGGAAGAAGCCCCUCCCCUCGUCGCUGCCCUCCUCCCCAUCUCUCGCCCCUGCGUUCUCUCUCCCUUAGCAUGUUGCUGGCUCGCUGCCGGCAGUGUACUCCUUCAAAUCAUCCCUGCAUAAAAGUUCAAGGGGACUCCUGUUAAUUCGUUAGUAGCAGCAGCAGCAGGUUAUAUACACUUAGCAGUUGUUCGAGGUUGCCGACUGAUUCCUAGUUUCAAUUUUCUUGAGGAUGAAAGUAAUAUCAUUUUCUUGAGGAUGAAAGUAAUAUCAUCACCAGAACCUACUACAAGGGCUUGCAAUGGCAGCAUCUUGAAAAUCCUAGAUCGAGAUCUAAAAUUGAUAUGAAUGGAUAUUGUAAAUUGAUGUGAAUUGGGAUUGUAAGUUUGUAACUCAACACUGAAUGUGAUGACUGAAUGCCUUUGCCAAUUGAGAUUGAUUGUUGUGUCUA
Molecule: RNA transcript, 3514 nt
Organism: Oryza sativa Japonica Group (Japanese rice)
Lineage: Eukaryota; Viridiplantae; Streptophyta; Magnoliopsida; Poales; Poaceae
Source: RefSeq, a predicted model, not a curated record